GCGGCGACAGCAGCCGUGACCUCCGACCCCGCCCGCCGCCGGCCAAUAAGAACGCGGCUCGUCCCCGAACCCAAAAUUUCCACGUCGGCAAAAGUCAAGAUGGAGCGGUGCGCGGCGCGCGGCGCGGCGCGCGCCACCGGCCGCCGCCCGGCGGGACCCGGACAGACGGGACGAGGCCGCCGCCGCCGCCGCCGCGGGGGGCGCCGGGGGGCUGCGGGCGGAGCGGCAGGGAAACUUGUGCUGGCAGGCGGUCCCGGUGCCGGUACCGGAGGAGGAUUGGAGCCUCCGGAGGCAAAGUUCUGUGACACUCCGACUCUGGGUACGAUAGCAGUCAGUGCACUACAGAACUUUGUCUCCGGCGGCGGCGGCCCCGGGAGCCUCAGGUGGACACGUCACUGCCCCGAGCACCCAAACCCGCGCUGCAGCCUUGGAAUAAAGUCUUUGCUGUCGUGGCCUCCCGCUCUGAACUUUUGUUGGGUGUUUUUUACUUUUUUUUUUUGUUUGUUUUUUCCAGGGUUAAAAAAAAAUAGUGCAACAUCUGGGUAUCCGAGGGUUAUUUCGGUGCAGUCAGUCAGGCAGGCCUGGCUGUCGGCAUAAAUGUGAAACUAACUGGUGCUCGGUGCAGCUGAAUCAGUGGUGGGUAUGUGAAUGUGCUCGACACUGCUCCUAACUGUGCUUUGUUCUAAUUGUGUAGCAGAACAGUAGCUUAACUAGGGACUGGGGUUGGCUGAAAGACUUUGUGCUCUUAGCGAAGACCUAAGUGUGCUAAUUCAGUGUUUAGGCCUUGCCUUGUGGUGCUGAGUGGUUUUCCUCUUUAGGAGCCCCAAACCCUCAACUUCUCUUGAGUGACAGCUACAACUUAAACUCAAGCCUCUGCAUCUUCAAAAAUCACAAGGUCCCUUGUGAGUACUGCAAGGCUUUAUCCUUACUGAUGCCGGGGUGGGGGGAGGCUUUGGAAGGGUAGGUGACACCUGUAUUUGUUAGUGCAGUUGCAAGGUUUUAUAACCUUGUUUGACACCUGCGCUGUACUUGACAUGGACAAUGGCUUUAAGGGCUGAGAAAGGAAGGGCCAAACUUUACUACUUUUUUCAGUUCAAGUUGGAAUCUGGCAACAGUACAAUAGCUGGCCCAGCUCUCUAAAGAAAUUUUGCAGAGUUUCUUCUUGAUCUGUAAACUAAGCUGUGGAGUUCUUGUGAGGUGGAUGCGAUCAGCUGAUCAGCUUUCAUCAUAAUGAGAGUAAUAGGAAAAACAGGAAUUGCUAGAGGUCAGGUGGAGUAAGGUAUGGUGAUUUAUUUAAAAUUAAAAAUCAGUCUGUGCUGUAGAGUUUGUUAGCAAGUAAGUCACAGCAGCUGCAUUAUAUGGCAGAUAAGCUGCUUUUAUAUGUACACACAUAUGUGCUAGAGGUCUCAUAUUCUGUUAGCUUUUUGUGGCUAAUGAUCCCCUUUGGGCUCACUAGAAACCUAAAUCAGUUUUCCCUUUCUGCCAGUCUGAAUGUGGAAGGUACAGCAAGAUUAUACAGUUCAUGGGAUUGGGCUGGAAACUGAAAUGCUAUUCUAAGUACAUGAUUUUUAGCUCAAACAGUUUAAUCAAAGGGUAGGUAAAGUGAGGAGCACUUACUGUAUGGCAGCCCAUGUGACCAGCUAAGGCUAUAUUUGGAUGCUGGAGGUUUAAGGAAUCCUUUUCGCUAACCAUUUUUGGCCAAUUGCCUGCUGCUUUAUGUUGUGCAGUGUGACGUCUGCUAAAAAGGACUUGGAAGUCUGGUGUCUGCAACUGUUUAAUCAGUGCAGUUACAGGGAAACACCUUGUACUGUCAGGGCUAAAGUCCCACUGUAUUGUGUUUAGGGGUGGUUCCUGCCUAGCAGGAUAUGUAAUGCAAAUAGCAGUUUCCAAUUUUUGUGCUAAAUGGCCUUUUUUGAGAGGGGCGGUAGAUCUUAUGAAGGCUUCUUAGAUACUCAGAUUUAGUGGUUAAAACUCUAUAUUCUUACAGUUCUGGAAACCCACAGACUGGAGCGUAUGCUUACUCUUCCAGGGUAAGCGUAACGUGUUUGGAUCUUAGCUUAUUUCAGUAUAAAUUCAGCCCAGAAUAGGGGGGUGGGAUCCUGAAGUCUCUUGCACUGGACUGGAUGUGAUGGCAGAUCGCAAACCUGAGUCCAGCUGCAUUGGGAAUGAAGAGUUCGUCCGCUUUCUCUCAGCAUGUUUCAGCUGGAGCCAAUUUUCUUGCCUGCUGUAGUUCCCCAGUGGUCAAGCUGACCAGCUAUGAAGGCAAGGUGAGUAAUGCUUGGCCUGCUGGUAUCCCUCAUUUGUCCUUGCCACAUGUCUGCAGCAUGUUGUACCUCCUGUCCUACAAGUAAUACUUGAAUAGUGACCUUUUGGUGGCACUUCUGCUUUGAUACAGGAAAUCAUGUGGCUUUCAGGUGGGACUAGAAAAGAGCUCAACACUUCCGAUUUUGUGCUUUAUACUUGCACUGAAAUGUAUGUGAUCUGAUAGUCCCCUGGCAUUUGAACUUCCUCGCUUCAUUGCAGCGUAAGACUUUUGAAAGCAAGCUUGAUGGGUGUAGUGGUGCUUGGGGCCUUGAAUGGGAGAUAGAGUUUUGACUAACCUUUUAAGAGUCAUGGUUGAUUAAGAUGAUGCAGGAAUUGGAAACAGGAAGAGAACUGGUGAUGCUAUUUGAAAUAAAAUCUGAAUGCCAAACUGUGUAAGUGCAUUGGUACAGCUUAUUUGCCAAUGACUUCUUGGCAUCUUCUGCUUCUCUGUUAGGCAGUGCCUUGCUGGAGAUGUACUCUAAACUGCUGCGUUAUUUUUCUGGUGCUCCUUGAUACUUUAGAGUGUCUCUUCCAAUUACGGUCCUUUCCUCAUUGGAAGAGUGGCAAAUGAGCAUGCUGAGUAAAUUACAUGAAUUUCCAAAAUAAUAUAUAUAGACCUGUUAUUUGAAGGGGCAGAGGCAAAGGAAAUGAUACCCACCUAUUUAUUGUUCUGCAAGCUGGAGAACAGGAAAGGAGUUUGCUGUCAAGUACUCUGAAGGUUGAGGGUGAAUGUAUCUGAGCGUGGCCUAGGCUUCCUGUGUGUAUUGAUUCAGCUGUAUGUACCUGCUUGAACUCUCUACAUAUGUGCUGAAGUUUGAAUUCAGAAUUUUAAGAGACCUCUUAGAAGCAUAAAAACUGUUGUCUAGUGCAUUUUUCUCUUCCACGUCAGGAUCUCCUUAAAAUACUAAGAUAGAGUUACGUCUUACGCUGCUGGGAGCGUCGAUGAAGCAGGGUCCAUGUUAAAUGGCAAACACUUAAGUUUGCUUUGUGAUGGGAGAUUAAUAAGAGCACAGGGAAUAUAGAGUAAAGGCAAGCUGCACAGCCUGUAGCUGCUUAGUCUCAGCACAUUCCUCAACUCUAUCAGGUCCAGUGGCAUCCUUUCUUUAGCUUCUAGAGAUCUGAUUUCGAGCUAGUGCAGUUUUAAGCAAAAAAUUUAACACUUGUCCCUGUAAUCUAAAAAUGCUGUCAAAAGAUGAAAAGGACAAGUUUUUCAUGUGUGUUUUCAUAAACUAACUUGUACAGUUUUACUAGAAAUAGAAGUAGGCUUGCUGACUUCUAGCAACUGUAUGAUAAACAAUUUAUAAAUAGACCAUAGAGUCCAAUGAAAUACAAAUAAAGUAUUGGAAGUCAUGAACAGACUCCAGAAAACGCUGGGAUAUUUAUAUUUAUCUGCUGCCUGGGCAGCUACACUCAAGAAACUUCUGAGAAUCCACGUAAGACUGAAGUGCCCUGAGAGCCCACCCGGAGCAGCAGAUUCUGGAGUCUCCAUUGUUUGGCUUUUGGUGGUAGCAGUGGUCUUUCCCCUAAACCUCGGGAUAGCAGGGUAGAAAUCUUUGGCAGCAUACCUAAGUUAUCAACACAAGGCUGCGUGUACCUCUGUCUGCAGAAUGGGAAGUAGACUUGCAGCAGUUGAGGUUGGUCAAUGGCACUGCGCGGUGAAGGAUUUUCCUUGUAGUUGGAGCUGGAGGAGGCGAACCUGCUUCUGGGAGAAACAGGGCAUUGAGGCAAGAGUGAGUGGAAACUGGAACUGCUAGGCAAUCCCAAGAUUAUUUUCUAUUUUAUUCUGGGAGGGAAGUGGAAGUUACAAAAAAACUUGGCAAAGGCCAUUGAAAUAAGGCUAUUUUCUUUGUGUAACAGACAGGCUAAGAAUUUAACUUUGUGUCUACAGUUGUGUCUUCUGUACUCUAGAAAUAACCUUUCCUAUGACCAGGUUUUAUUUUUUGGAAUACCAGUGCUAAUGUAGUUUGAAAUAGCUUGGUGCAGUUAAACCUAUGUUUAAGGUAUUAGAGGUGUUGUACUGAAACCUCAUCCUAAUUAACUGUUGAACAAGGGUGCUGCAACUUUGCUUUGUAUAGCCAACACAAAAGUAAUUACUUGCUGAAUUAUAUAUAAAUGUUCUGAAAUGUGCAUACGAAGUCCUGAGCUCAGUGGAAAAAAAAAACCAGCAUUAGACUAUUGAUGAAUGAUUGCUGCUUUGUUUUGAGUUCCGCUGGGCUGCGAGGCAGUACCGCCUUUUUGUCAAAUGGCAGUUUUUACCCCGUCUGAUGGUUCUUACAUCUUAAGCGUUGGAAACUACAUUCUUGCACCAACGCUUGGUCUCUUGCAGAGCUCCUGUGAAUGUUCUUCAGCUGUUGUAAAAUGAUGCAUUGCUGCUUUUAAUAAAAGUAAGUCUCAAUCCUGAAUGUUGAUCCACUUGUGCAGUAAAAUCCUUUUUCUGUUUUGUAGUAACUCGCAGGAGCAGUAGUUGUGGGAACAUCAUUAACAGUAUAAGAGACUCAAGUUAAUGAGCAGCAGCAUAUUUAAGCUGUGGAGUAGACUUAUUUAGGCAAGCCAGAGCUGUUUAAUACUCUGUAUUUUGGCAGCUGGGUGACUUCAGAGAUGUCUAAAUUCAUAUAUAGGCAAAAGCUCAGUCACAGUGAAUGCCAUUGUUUUUUGCUGUACUGAGUCCCAGCUCCCAUUAGCAUGUCACAAAAUUGUGACUGACUAACAGUUCCCUCAGGUGCUGCUUCCAGAAGAGGCAGAGAAAGGAUGGUCUUAGUUUGGGGAGAUGGUACAUAGAUACAGCAGUCGGCUUCCAUCCUUUAGUUUCUUCUUUCACCAACUGAAAUGCAGGAGGCUCGCUCUGAACAUCAGGAAACAUACUCUGAGAAUGACAGAGUGCUAGCUCAGGUUGCCCAGGGAGGUUGUGGAGCCUCCAUCCUUGGAAAUACUAAAAAAACAUCUGGAUGGGCAACUGGCUCUAGGUGGGCCUGCUUGAGCAGGGCGGUUGGGCUGGAUUACCUCUGCAGAUCCCUUCCAACCUCAAUGAUUGUAUGUGAUUUCUUUUCUAGCUUUAUACCAAAAAAAAGAAUUUUACCUUUCCUGCAGUACUCUCCCCAUCUCAGUUUGUUCCAUUGCUGUUUAUUGUCACAUGAAUAAUCCUUUAAUUUAUAAAGCAGAGGGGGGAAGGGUUACAGAAGAUCAAUAUUACUCUGAAUAAAUGCCAUGUAAAGCA
Non-coding RNA from Phalacrocorax carbo (great cormorant), 5518 nucleotides. NCBI's taxonomy places the organism in Eukaryota, Metazoa, Chordata, Aves, Suliformes, Phalacrocoracidae. The record is from RefSeq and is a predicted model, not a curated record.